CAGUCGCCGCGGUAACACGGAGGGUGCAAGCGUUAAUCGGAAUUACUGGGCGUAAAGCGUGCGUAGGCGGUUCGUUAAGUCUGUUGUGAAAGCCCCGGGCUCAACCUGGGAAUGGCAAUGGAUACUGGCGAGCUAGAGUGUGUCAGAGGAUGGUGGAAUUCCCGGUGUAGCGGUGAAACGCGUAGAGAUCGGGAGGAACAUCAGUGGCGAAGGCGGCCAUCUGGGACAACACUGACGCUGAGGCACGAAAGCGUGGGGAGCAAACAGGAUUAGAGACCCCAGUAGUCCCUGUCUCUUAUAC
RNAcentral lists this ribosomal RNA (301 nucleotides) under uncultured bacterium. Its description in RNAcentral is "partial 16S ribosomal RNA". It matches the Rfam family "Bacterial small subunit ribosomal RNA", at positions 509 to 807 of the family's 1533-position model. The record is from RNAcentral.